GAUGAACGCUGGCGGCGUGCUUAACACAUGCAAGUCGAACGGUGAAGGCGGAGCUUGCUCUGCUGGAUCAGUGGCGAACGGGUGAGUAACACGUGAGCAAUCUGCCCCUGACUCUGGGAUAAGCGCUGGAAACGGCGUCUAAUACUGGAUACGAGCUGCGAAGGCAUCUUCAGCAGCUGGAAAGAAUUUCGGUCAGGGAUGAGCUCGUGGCCUAUCAGCUUGUUGGUGAGGUAAUGGCUCACCAAGGCGUCGACGGGUAGCCGGCCUGAGAGGGUGACCGGCCACACUGGGACUGAGACACGGCCCAGACUCCUACGGGAGGCAGCAGUGGGGAAUAUUGCACAAUGGGCGAAAGCCUGAUGCAGCAACGCCGCGUGAGGGACGACGGCCCUCGGGUUGUAAACCUCUUUUAGCAGGGAAGAAGCGAAAGUGACGGUACCUGCAGAAAAAGCGCCGGCUAACUACGUG
RNAcentral lists this ribosomal RNA (468 nucleotides) under uncultured bacterium. RNAcentral's name for it is "partial 16S ribosomal RNA". It matches the Rfam family "Bacterial small subunit ribosomal RNA", at positions 28 to 507 of the family's 1533-position model. The record is from RNAcentral.